GACGGGGACCCGCACAAGCAGCGGAGCAUGUGGUUUAAUUCGAAGCAACGCGAAAAACCUUACCAGGGCUUGACAUCCCUCUGACAGAUCCUUAACCGGAUCCUUCUUCGGACAGAGGUGACAGGUGGUGCAUGGUUGUCGUCAGCUCGUGUCGUGAGAUGUUGGGUUAAGUCCCGCAACGAGCGCAACCCUUGUCGUCAGUUACUAACAUUAAGUUGAGGACUCUGACGAGACUGCCGAGGUUAACUCGGAGGAAGGUGGGGAUGACGUCAAAUCAUCAUGCCCCUUAUGUUCUGAGCUACACACGUGCUACAAUGGUCGGUACAAUGAGAAGCAAGAUGGCGACAUGGAGCAAAUCACCAAAACCGAUCUCAGUUCGGAUUGCAGGCUGCAACUCGCCUGCAUGAAGUCGGAGUUGCUAGUAAUCGCGGAUCAGCAUGCCGCGGUGAAUGCGUUCCCGGGUCUUGUACACACCGCCCGUCACACCUUGGAAGUUGGGGGCGCCCAAAGUUGGUCAGUUAAUAGAUUACCUAAGGCGAAACCAAUGACUGGGGUGAAGACGUAACAAGGAGGCGUCGAAAA
This 582-nucleotide ribosomal RNA is filed under the name uncultured bacterium. Its description in RNAcentral is "bacterial SSU rRNA". It matches the Rfam family "Bacterial small subunit ribosomal RNA", at positions 912 to 1508 of the family's 1533-position model. The record is from RNAcentral.